Molecule: ribosomal RNA, 253 nt
Filed under: uncultured bacterium
Lineage: Bacteria
Also listed under: 1 other name
Description: partial 16S ribosomal RNA
Rfam family: Bacterial small subunit ribosomal RNA
Source: RNAcentral
UACGGAGGGGGCUAGCGUUGUUCGGAAUUACUGGGCGUAAAGCGCACGUAGGCGGCUCUUCAAGUCAGAGGUGAAAGCCCAGGGCUUAACCCUGGAAUUGCCUUUGAAACUAGAGAGCUUGAACAUCGGAGAGGCAGGUGGAAUUCCGAGUGUAGAGGUGAAAUUCGUAGAUAUUCGGAAGAACACCAGUGGCGAAGGCGACCUGCUGGACGAUUGUUGACGCUGAGGUGCGAAAGCGUGGGGAGCAAACAGG